UUUACAUUUGAGUGAGUGGCGAACUGGUGAGUAACACGUGGGAAACCUGCCCAGAAGCGGGGGAUAACACCUGGAAACAGAUGCUAAUACCGCAUAACAACUUGGACCGCAUGGUCCGAGUUUGAAAGAUGGCUUCGGCUAUCACUUUUGGAUGGUCCCSCGGCGUAUUAGCUAKAUGGKGGGGUAACGGCUCMCCAUGGCAAUGAUACKUASCCRACCUGARAGGGUAAUCGGCCACAUUGGGACUGARACMCGGCCCAAACUCCUACGGGAGGCAGCAGUAGGGAAUCUUCCACAAUGGACGAAAGUCUGAUGGAGCAACSCCGCGUGAGUGAAGAAGGGUUUCGGCUCG
Molecule: ribosomal RNA, 352 nt
Filed under: Lactiplantibacillus plantarum
Lineage: Bacteria; Bacillati; Bacillota; Bacilli; Lactobacillales; Lactobacillaceae
Description: Lactobacillus plantarum partial 16S ribosomal RNA
Rfam family: Bacterial small subunit ribosomal RNA
Source: RNAcentral